AUGGCGCCGGUGAAGGUGUUCGGGCCGGCGGCGUUUGCUAACGUGGCCCGGGUGCUAGUGUGCCUGGAGGAGGUCGGCGCCGACUACGAGGUCGUCGACAUAGAUUUCAUGGCCCUGGAGCACAAGAGCCCCGAGCACCUCACCAGAAACCCGUUCGGGCAAAUCCCUGCUUUCCAGGAUGGCGAUCUGAUCCUCUUCGAGUCACGCGCAAUUUCAAAGUACGUGAUCCACAAGUACAAGAUGAAUGAAGCCAAUCUGAUGAGGGAAGGUAACCUGAAAGAAGCCACAAUGGUGGACAUAUGGACCGAGGUCGAGGCACACACCUACAACCCAGCCCUCUCGCCGGUCGUGUAUGAGUGCCUCUUUAACCCGCUCUUGCAAGGCAUACCCACCAACCAAAAGGUGGUGGAUGAAAGCCUGGAGAAGCUGAAAAAGGUGCUGGAGAUAUACGAGGAGCAUUUGUCCAAACACAAGUACUUGGCGGGGGAUUUCAUUAGUUUUGCGGAUCUCAACCAUUUCCCCUACACUUUCUAUUUCAUGGCAACUCCUCACGCAGUCCUAUUCGACUCAUACCCACACGUGAAGGCGUGGUGGGAGAGCCUCGUGGCAAGGCCGUCGAUCAAGAAGCUUGGCGCAAGCAUGGCUGCACUUACGACAUGA
Molecule: ribosomal RNA, 660 nt
Filed under: Triticum aestivum (bread wheat)
Lineage: Eukaryota; Viridiplantae; Streptophyta; Magnoliopsida; Poales; Poaceae
Description: partial small subunit ribosomal RNA
Source: RNAcentral